GGUAACAGGUCUAGCUUGCUACCUGCUGACGAGCGGCGGACGGGUGAGUAAUGCAUAGGAAUCUGCCCGAUAGUGGGGGAUAACCUGGGGAAACCCAGGCUAAUACCGCAUACGUCCUACGGGAGAAAGGGGGCUUCGGCUCCCGCUAUUGGAUGAGCCUAUGUCGGAUUAGCUAGUUGGUAAGGUAAUGGCUUACCAAGGCAACGAUCCGUAGCUGGUCUGAGAGGAUGAUCAGCCACAUCGGGACUGAGACACGGCCCGAACUCCUACGGGAGGCAGCAGUGGGGAAUAUUGGACAAUGGGGGCAACCCUGAUCCAGCCAUGCCGCGUGUGUGAAGAAGGCCCUCGGGUUGUAAAGCACUUUCAGCGAGGAAGAACGCCUAUCGGUUAAUACCCGGUAGGAAAGACAUCACUCGCAGAAGAAGCACCGGCUAACUCCGUGCCAGCAGCCGCGGUAAUACGGAGGGUGCAAGCGUUAAUCGGAAUUACUGGGCGUAAAGCGCGCGUAGGUGGCUUGAUAAGCCGGUUGUGAAAGCCCCGGGCUCAACCUGGGAACGGCAUCCGGAACUGUCAGGCUAGAGUGCAGGAGAGGAAGGUAGAAUUCCCGGUGUAGCGGUGAAAUGCGUAGAGAUCGGGAGGAAUACCAGUGGCGAAGGCGGCCUUCUGGACUGACACUGACACUGAGGUGCGAAAGCGUGGGUAGCAAACAGGAUUAGAUACCCUGGUAGUCCACGCCGUAAACGAUGUCGACCAGCCGUUGGGUGCCUAGAGCACUUUGUGGCGAAGUUAACGCGAUAAGU
Molecule: ribosomal RNA, 800 nt
Filed under: Halomonas sp. S9
Lineage: Bacteria; Pseudomonadati; Pseudomonadota; Gammaproteobacteria; Oceanospirillales; Halomonadaceae
Description: bacterial SSU rRNA
Rfam family: Bacterial small subunit ribosomal RNA
Source: RNAcentral